This 1492-nucleotide ribosomal RNA is filed under the name Lactiplantibacillus pentosus. Its description in RNAcentral is "bacterial SSU rRNA". It matches the Rfam family "Bacterial small subunit ribosomal RNA". The record is from RNAcentral. Lineage: Bacteria; Bacillati; Bacillota; Bacilli; Lactobacillales; Lactobacillaceae.
GACGAACGCUGGCGGCGUGCCUAAUACAUGCAAGUCGAACGAACUCUGGUAUUGAUUGGUGCUUGCAUCAUGAUUUACAUUUGAGUGAGUGGCGAACUGGUGAGUAACACGUGGGAAACCUGCCCAGAAGCGGGGGAUAACACCUGGAAACAGAUGCUAAUACCGCAUAACAACUUGGACCGCAUGGUCCGAGUUUGAAAGAUGGCUUCGGCUAUCACUUUUGGAUGGUCCCGCGGCGUAUUAGCUAGAUGGUGGGGUAACGGCUCACCAUGGCAAUGAUACGUAGCCGACCUGAGAGGGUAAUCGGCCACAUUGGGACUGAGACACGGCCCAAACUCCUACGGGAGGCAGCAGUAGGGAAUCUUCCACAAUGGACGAAAGUCUGAUGGAGCAACGCCGCGUGAGUGAAGAAGGGUUUCGGCUCGUAAAACUCUGUUGUUAAAGAAGAACAUAUCUGAGAGUAACUGUUCAGGUAUUGACGGUAUUUAACCAGAAAGCCACGGCUAACUACGUGCCAGCAGCCGCGGUAAUACGUAGGUGGCAAGCGUUGUCCGGAUUUAUUGGGCGUAAAGCGAGCGCAGGCGGUUUUUUAAGUCUGAUGUGAAAGCCUUCGGCUCAACCGAAGAAGUGCAUCGGAAACUGGGAAACUUGAGUGCAGAAGAGGACAGUGGAACUCCAUGUGUAGCGGUGAAAUGCGUAGAUAUAUGGAAGAACACCAGUGGCGAAGGCGGCUGUCUGGUCUGUAACUGACGCUGAGGCUCGAAAGUAUGGGUAGCAAACAGGAUUAGAUACCCUGGUAGUCCAUACCGUAAACGAUGAAUGCUAAGUGUUGGAGGGUUUCCGCCCUUCAGUGCUGCAGCUAACGCAUUAAGCAUUCCGCCUGGGGAGUACGGCCGCAAGGCUGAAACUCAAAGGAAUUGACGGGGGCCCGCACAAGCGGUGGAGCAUGUGGUUUAAUUCGAAGCUACGCGAAGAACCUUACCAGGUCUUGACAUACUAUGCAAAUCUAAGAGAUUAGACGUUCCCUUCGGGGACAUGGAUACAGGUGGUGCAUGGUUGUCGUCAGCUCGUGUCGUGAGAUGUUGGGUUAAGUCCCGCAACGAGCGCAACCCUUAUUAUCAGUUGCCAGCAUUAAGUUGGGCACUCUGGUGAGACUGCCGGUGACAAACCGGAGGAAGGUGGGGAUGACGUCAAAUCAUCAUGCCCCUUAUGACCUGGGCUACACACGUGCUACAAUGGAUGGUACAACGAGUUGCGAACUCGCGAGAGUAAGCUAAUCUCUUAAAGCCAUUCUCAGUUCGGAUUGUAGGCUGCAACUCGCCUACAUGAAGUCGGAAUCGCUAGUAAUCGCGGAUCAGCAUGCCGCGGUGAAUACGUUCCCGGGCCUUGUACACACCGCCCGUCACACCAUGAGAGUUUGUAACACCCAAAGUCGGUGGGGUAACCUUUUAGGAACCAGCCGCCUAAGGUGGGACAGGUGAUUAGGGUGAAG